AUUGAACGCUGGCGGCAUGCCUUACACAUGCAAGUCGAACGGUAACAGGUCUUCGGAUGCUGACGAGUGGCGAACGGGUGAGUAAUACAUCGGAACGUGCCUAGUAGUGGGGGAUAACUACUCGAAAGAGUGGCUAAUACCGCAUGAGAUCUACGGAUGAAAGCAGGGGAUCGCAAGACCUUGUGCUACUAGAGCGGCCGAUGGCAGCUUAGGUAGUUGGUGGGAUAAAAGCUUACCAAGCCGACGAUCUGUAGCUGGUCUGAGAGGACGAUGAGCCACGCGGGGACUGAGACACGGCGCAGACUCCUACGGGAGGCAGCAGUGGGGAAUUUUGGACAAUGGGCGCAAGCCUGAUCCAGCAAUGCCGCGUGCAGGAUGAAGGCCUUCGGGUUGUAAACUGCUUUUGUACGGAACGAAAAGCCCCGGGUUAAUACCCUGGGGUCAUGACGGUACCGUAAGAAUAAGCACCGGCUAACUACGUGCCAGCCGCCGCGGUAA
RNAcentral lists this ribosomal RNA (498 nucleotides) under uncultured bacterium. Its description in RNAcentral is "partial 16S ribosomal RNA". It matches the Rfam family "Bacterial small subunit ribosomal RNA", at positions 30 to 523 of the family's 1533-position model. The record is from RNAcentral.